GCCCGGAUGGUGAAAUCGGUAGACGCAAGGGACUUAAAAUCCCUCGGGGGUAACCCCGUGCCGGUUCGACCCCGGCUCCGGGCACCA
Molecule: transfer RNA, 87 nt
Filed under: Pseudomonas aeruginosa
Lineage: Bacteria; Pseudomonadati; Pseudomonadota; Gammaproteobacteria; Pseudomonadales; Pseudomonadaceae
Description: tRNA-Leu
Rfam family: tRNA
About the family: Transfer RNA (tRNA) molecules are approximately 80 nucleotides in length. Their secondary structure includes four short double-helical elements and three loops (D, anti-codon, and T loops).
Source: RNAcentral